Eublepharis macularius is the source of this 1938-nucleotide long non-coding RNA. RefSeq lists it as uncharacterized. The transcript has 3 exons. The record is from RefSeq and is a predicted model, not a curated record. NCBI's taxonomy places the organism in Eukaryota, Metazoa, Chordata, Lepidosauria, Squamata, Eublepharidae.
CUGCUGCAGGCUCCCUUCCCUGAGCCUGCCCCGUGGCCUCUGCUUGGCAUUUGCGCCGUGCGACAUCCCCGCGCAGCCGCCCUCCUCAAAGGCCGCAGCUGCCCAGGAGCGGAGGAGCCGGGCGGGGGCCGCUCUCCCGCCUUCGGGUGCCGCAGGAGGCAGGCCAUUGUUCCGGGCGCCUCCGAACAGCGGGGCCCAGUUCAGGCAGCAAGAGGCGUGGAAAAUACGACCAGGGGCCAGACAAUAGCCGAGGCUCUCUUCUCCCAGCGCCGGAAGCACCCGAAGGCUGAAGAAACAAACGGCGGCGAGAAUCGGAUCCAGCAGGCCGGACGGCUGUCGCUGCGGCCAUUAACUCCUUCGCCCCCGCCGCCUUCGGAGAUACCUCCGAGAGCAAGCCCGGUCGCGGCGUGCUGCUCGUCGGGCUGGUUGCAAAGGAAACAUUAUUGCCAACAGACUCCCGGGUUCCCGGCCGCCUGCCUGCCACCGCCGUCGUAAAUCAACGGGCCAGCCGCCCCUGGGCGCCUGGCAGGGGCUGAAACGCGCGCGUUGGGCAGCGCCAGUAGGAUAACCCUCCGCUGCUCGACGGCGCCUCCUCCUCCUCCAGCCGGGCCUGGUAUUCUUGACGCAGGCUUGGCUCGCGUCGGGGCGGCAGCAGAGAGCUGGCCGCUGCCUUGGACGGAAGCUGGAGGCGGAGGAGGAAACCCGCUUCAGCUCUUUGGCCGGGGGAUGCAGCUUGUAACCGGCGGUGGAGUCCGAGCCAAGGGAACUCCUGCUCCGGUGGUGUGUAUAGAAGGGACGCCUUGAAGAGAGGAUUUUACGACUGCUGAACGCCUGGCGGAUCGUGCAAAGGAAAACGCAGGCGCGCAGGGGCGAGCCCUGUCCGUAUGGAACUGGAAUGCAGCCCUGACACCUGAAGGCCCAGCAACAUUCCUGCCCGCAGAACCUGUCGUGAGGCAGGAGCCGCUUCAUCAGAGGCACAAAGAAAUGGGCAGAGAACGAGUGACUUGCCCAAAACUCAACGUUCCCAAGUCCAUGCUAGCGGUGUGACAUGAACUCACGUCUUCCAAGCCCAACUCUCUUCCCAAUACAUUUUGAAAGCCCGAAAGAUGGGGAACUGGGAGGCAGAGAACAACUUGCCCAAGAGGCCACACAAGGAGUCGAUGACACAUCGGAGGACUUGAACUCAUUUUUCCCUGAGCCCGACUGAAGGCCUAAUUUAAACACGAAGUUGCAAAGAGAUUCCCAGUGCAGCUUCCAGGUAAAGCAGCUCCAUUUGCACACCUGCACACUUAUCUGCAAGGGCUCCGGAUCUCUGGUGUGCAAACUAAGUGGAUGUAAUUGGCUUCCACAGAUUGCAGCACAGUUUAAACCAAAUCCAGAGCCUGUGAAAAUCAUAUGGGGAAGCUGUUUGCCUCAUCCGCUUAUAUUUGAAUCACACUUCAGGUUUGGUCUACAAAUGCAGAAGAAUGUAGAGGUGGUAGAAUUCCAGGAGGCUAAUAUUAUACGCUCGAAUGUUUAGCUCUUGAAAUGCUGCUGGACUGAUUAUUUUCUUCAUAUGUGCAGAUAUUUCUGUCUUUUAACAGUAUGCCUUUUGUUUUUUAAAGUUUUUAUUCCUCCUUGUAUUUAUCUCAGAUCCCUCAGUGAAGUAUAUGUGAAGCAUGUCGGGGUCUCCCAAGUGUAUGUACUGGUGCUGUUUAUAGUCUGCCUUUCUCACUGAGACUCAAGGCGGAUUACACAGUUUAGACCAAUACAAUCAACAGCUGAGAUGUUCAAUAAACAUUCAGUAAACAAUUCAAUAUGGUAAGAAUGGCAGAAAUCUGAUACAAAGCUGAAAGCAAUGCUGAAACAAAGAACAAGCAAAUUGACAUGACGUACUACCAGGGCUUUUUUCCAGCAGGAACGCGGUGGAACGGAGUUCUGGAACAUCUUGAAAAUGGU